Molecule: long non-coding RNA, 3786 nt
Organism: Piliocolobus tephrosceles (Ugandan red Colobus)
Lineage: Eukaryota; Metazoa; Chordata; Mammalia; Primates; Cercopithecidae
Source: Ensembl
UGAACGAACGAUAAUGUAACCAAACAUGUUAAGAACAUAUAUAUAUAUAUGCAGAAAAAAAAAUAGAUACACAUACGUAUAUACAUCAGAUGCUUGACACUCAUACAAAAAUACCUAAAAAAAAAGAAAACACUUACACCGUUUUGACAUUUUAGAUUAUGUUAUACGUUUCAACAACUUUUAUGAAACAAUCCUGAUAAAAACCUUUCUUUUGUUUCCAUGUAUAUAUUUCAUGCUUGUACGUUGAACGUUAUCCCUUUUAUACAUAGAAACACGUCUGCUACAAUGCAGUAGGUUCUUAUCUAACGCGCAAAAAAAAAAAAAAAAAAAAAAAAAAAAAAAAAAAAAAAAAAAAAAAACAUACAUAAAUACAUAAAUACAUACAUACAUACAUACAUACACAAAACCGACAUAUAUAUGUAUAUUUGUUUUUUUUUUUCAUUGUAUGAUGAACAUAAAUAAAAACAAGAGCAGUCGAAGUCUAUUUCUUUUUUGCAAACGACAUAUUAAAAAAAUAAAAAUAAAUGGAGUAAAAGAAUAUGAAGAGGUAUUAAAAAAAAUAUCAAAUCACGAGAAGUUAGUAAGAAUCGACAUAAAUGGAAAACCUAAGAAAACAACAAAAUAUUUUUUUCAUAAAAAUAAAUACAUAUAUGUUAAAAAUAAAAAUGAUAUACAAUUAUUUGAUGAACAAACAGAAAACAAACAAAAUGGUAAAUCGGUUAUUAAGGCUGGUCCGAACGUAGGUGUAGUAGUAACAAGGACAGACAUAAGUGGAGAUGUAGUCGAGAAAAACGCACCUACAAUCGUAACAAACAAAAUCCCUGUAAAGUAUAAUGUUAUAAAUGCAAAACCAAAUUUAAAAAAAGAGAGGAAACGAAUCCAUUCACUUAAAAAAAUAAAACAAAUAUACGAUUUGUCAUCUGAUGCAGAGCUUAUAUAUAUAAAAUUCAUUGAAAAAAUAAAAAUAAAAAACAUGUUUUCACUUAUAAACAAUAUAAAAAAAAAUAUAUACAUAGAUAAAGAUAAAACACAAAUAAUAUUAAAUUGUAUUUAUAAAUAUUUAAGUUAUAAUUGUUUUUCUAUGUCUAAAAAUGAAUUUUUUUUUUUUGUUUACAUUUUUCCACAAGACAUAAAAUAUUUUAAUAAAGUAAUAGCAUAUAUAACUAAUUUAUUAAAAAUGAAUAGUAUAACUGUAAAAGAGUGUAUAACAUUAAUAAUAGAAACAAAUUUAUUACAUGUUAAUAUAUACAUAAAAAAUGAAUAUAUUAAUUUUUUAUAUGAACAUGUUCAUAAAAUAAAAAUGGAUGACAUUUUAAAUUUAUUUUCAAAAGGAAGCUAUAUAUUUGCUAUUCUACCUACUAAUGGUUACUCUCCAAACGAUAAAGAAUUAUUAAUUAGAAAUGUUAUUUGUGAAAACAUAAAAAAAAAACAUAUAAAUUUGAAUGACGAAUUAAAACAUAAUUAUAUAAAUUUUCUUUCAUAUCAUUCAAAAUAUAGUAAUUUUUAUUUAAACUAUUUUUUAAGUAACUUUAAUAUAUUAUUAUAUGAACAAAUCAUUUUGAAAAAUAUAAAAUCCAUAUUACUAAACCAUCAACAUUUUUUUUAUAAUGUAAAAAAACUAACAUAUAAUAAUCAUGUCAUUAAUCAUCUUAAUAAGGUAAUACUCCAAAACAAUAAUAAAUUAUUUAAUAAACAAAAACAAAAUGUAAAAAUAAAAGUUUUUUCAUCUUACAUACGUCCUACCGACGAGGUUAGUGAUGAACAAAUGAAAACACACCAUUGUCAUGACAUCCCAAACAACCAAAACAUAAGCACAAUUUUGUAUAACGCGAUGAUAUACAAUGGUAGUAAUAUUAGCGACGUUGGUAUUCAAAUCGGGAACACAAAUUGUAUUGGUACAUGUACAGUCGAAACAAACUCUGCCGGAACAACUCCGGUAGGAACAACUCCGACCAGAACAACUCCGGUAGGAACAACUCCGACCAGAACAAACUCUAACCAAUUUAAUAAAAAAAAAAAUUAUGAUAAAGACAUACAAACUACAUAUACAAAUAAUUCGUUUAACACUGUAAUGAAUGAAUACUCAGAAAAUUCUAUAAACAGACAAAACGAAGAAUGUAGUAUAUUUAUACUUAGAAAAAACGCAUUUAAUUUUACGUACCCAAUAAAUAAAAUAAGACACGAAAACUACGACAUGUAUAAAGUAAGAUAUAAAAUAUUAACAAAAAUAACAGAUAAAAAUGUAAAAAUGUUUCUUAAGUUUUUAAAAACAAGUUAUAAUUUGAAUACUUUACAUAUCGAUAAUAUUUUUUCGAAGAAGACUGUUUAUCAAGUAAUAUCAUCCAUUAAAAAGGCUGUCCUUACUAAAGAAGACAUGGACGGAUGCUAUUUGACACGACAUGACUCAACUCGAGAUGGAUCGACUCCGAAUGACUUGGCACGGCACAACCCAACCACACAGGAACAACUAUUUAUUAACUUUGUCGACUAUUGGAAUAAUAUAAAAGAAGAAAAGAAACAAAAAACAGAAAAUAAUCCCAAUUUGAUCUGUUUAAUAGGUAAAAAUACUGCUAAUGUAAAAUUAACAACAAACGAUUCUUUCGCUACUGAUUUGGCAAUUCUAGAUAAAAGUAAAAUAGAUAUACAAGAACUAAAUUACAUUCAUAAUUUUUAUUUACAACAUGAUUUGCAGAAUAAUAAAACUUUUUUAAACAUAAUUAACAAAAUUUAUUUUAAUCAAAAAAUGGAUGAAAAAAUUAUGAACAAGUCAGGUAUAAAUUGCAUUUCCAAAUUUUUAUUUUUUUUUUGUAAAUAUAUUCAAUUAUAUAAUAAAAAUAACUAUUCAUUAAUACAAACAGAGAAAUAUAAACAUAUACAACAUCAAUUUGAAAACACUUUUUAUGAAUUAUUUAUUUAUAUUAAUAAAUCAUUAUAUACUAUAAAUAUAUCUAACUUUUUUUAUAUUUUUAUUUCCAUAUGGCAAUUUGCUAAUAAUUCAAAUAUUUACCUUUUAAAUAAUACAUCAUUUCUAAAAAAUAAAAACAAAUAUUGCAAUAACAAGAAAUUGUAUAACCUAUUAUAUAUUAUAUACACAGUUAGACUAUACCGAUAUAAUCAUGUAUGUAAUAUAUUAAACGAUGCAGACCUGGCUGAAUAUAUAAGCGAUGAGUUGCUUUGUCAUACCCACUCGAAUACAACACACUCCAAUGCUAAUACUAUAGAUCAUAAAAAAAAUAUACCAUAUUUUAAUUUAGAUAAAACACGUGAACACAUUUUAGUUGAGUUUGCGCCAAGCGAUGUAUAUAUGCAGGGGCUUACAAAUGAAUACCUGCACGUACCAAACUAUAAACACUCUCAUGGACUUACAAAAAAACGUGUGACUCUAUCAAGUUUUAAUUUUCUCAGUAUGUUUUUAAAUAAUUAUCUAGACUGUACAAAAUUUAACACAACUAAUUUUUUAAUAAUAUUAUUCUAUGCAAACAAACUAUUCCCUCUAUAUCAAAAAAAAAAAAAUCACUUAGAAUCCAGAUUAUAUGAAAAUCACAAAUGGUUUAUCAAUAAAUUUUUUACCCUUAAUCAUUGUCAUAAUUAUGUUAAAAAAAAUAGACUUUUAAAUCAACUUACAUGUGUCCAUCAACGCAGAAAGAUUUAUGGCUGCUCAAACAACAGUGACAUACGCUUUUGUAAAAAAAAAAUAAAAAAUAAAAAAAAAGGCGUAAACAAAAAUAUCAAACAGACGACUGUCACACUGGGAACUGUCAAACCAAGUCAUACCAAAACAGACGA